GCCCUCGUAGCUCAGCGGAUAGAGCACCGCUCUCCUAAAGCGGGUGUCGCGCGUUCGAGUCGCGCCGGGGGCA
Molecule: transfer RNA, 73 nt
Filed under: Actinomycetales bacterium
Lineage: Bacteria; Bacillati; Actinomycetota; Actinomycetes; Actinomycetales
Description: tRNA-Arg
Rfam family: tRNA
About the family: Transfer RNA (tRNA) molecules are approximately 80 nucleotides in length. Their secondary structure includes four short double-helical elements and three loops (D, anti-codon, and T loops). Further hydrogen bonds mediate the characteristic L-shaped molecular structure. tRNAs have two regions of fundamental functional importance: the anti-codon, which is responsible for specific mRNA codon recognition, and the 3' end, to which the tRNAs corresponding amino acid is attached (by aminoacyl-tRNA synthetases). tRNAs cope with the degeneracy of the genetic code in two manners: having more than one tRNA (with a specific anti-codon) for a particular amino acid; and 'wobble' base-pairing, i.e. permitting non-standard base-pairing at the 3rd anti-codon position.
Source: RNAcentral